UAGAUGAAUUGUAUGUUUUUAAUCAGUUUCUCAUAUUCCAACUUUGCCCUGAGAGUCAGUUUUUUACUUAGUUCUUAACCCGUCCGCUGCGAUUAUCACGGACUUGGCUUUCACUGGUAGCCUGGUUACAUAAUAUAGUCCCAGGUCCACCUUUACCCUCCUCCUCGCCUCACCCAGUGUCCUGUGGCUGAGAAGUGUGUAUUUACCCACAGGGAGUGCUCGUGGGGGUAAGAAGCUCUCACAUCAUACCCUGGAGAUGGACUGAGGGUGCUGGCCUGCUGCUGCCGAUGAUGCCAUCAGGGGAGUCUGAACCCUUGUACCCCCUCAAGAUAAGCCCAGAUUGAUUUUCCUGUUGGCGUGAAAGAUUUGCAUAGGCUAUAUAUAUAUUAAAAAACAAAAAAAUGAACUAAAUCAAUGAUGAUGAUGCAUGUGGAUGUGCAUCAUGAUCAGUGUGCAUGAGUGAGCAGAUGCAGCCCACUAGUGAUGAGGGUGGCAGGGCGUACAGGUAACUCUCGAUUUACGCGAGUAUUGUGUCCUUGAAGAGGUCAUUGCGUAGAUCAAAAACAAUUUAGUAUAUCAAACAAGAGGUAGGUUUGUACCUUUAUUGCCUACUGUAUCACUCUGACUCCUCUCCCUCGCGUGGUUCCUCCUCUGGCUGUCCUUCCCCUCGUGGUAGCUCAGCAGCGAGGGUGUUGUUGUUGUUGUUGUUGAGUAGCGUGGGUACUGUAUUGUUGUUCAAGUGGCGCGGGAAGAACUGAGCUCAGCUGUGUGGCCGCGGCGCCAUGUGAGUCCAGUUGCGUGAGACAUCUGGUGGCCAAUCCAUAAAAUAUCGCGUAUAAGUGAAAAAAAAGCGUGUAAAUUAAACAUUUAUUUGGAUUUUGGGCCAUGCGUUAUUUCAAGAAUGCGUAAACCAAACUCGCAUAAAUUGAGAGUUACCUGUAUAGCAUAUUAUUUGCCCUUAAUGGCCAUCAGGAAGGGAAGAUUGAAGCUGUGUUCAUGGUGCAGCAGCUGUCUGGUGGCCUCCCAAAUGAACACCACUGAGUGCCUGGAUGUUUUCACUGUGUUAAUACAGUUUCUCUAAUGUCUGGUGGCCAUACUGUUUUUAGCCAGAAGUGCUCCAGAAUUUUUUUUAUAAAGCUUGUCACUGAUUUUUCAUUUAGUUUAAAAUUUACUGUUGAAUUUUAAGCUGGCAAUGUAGCUGUUCUUGUGUUAUAUUUCAUUUUAAUUGCCUUUUUUUGAGUUGUUUCAGUGAUUAUUUUUCAUCCAGUGGACAUCAGCAGACUUUGCUUUACUAUGCUGUAGUGAAGAAUACAUUGUGAUAUGUAUGAUAUUGUCUCUUUUCCUAUUCAGCCUCAGUUGAAAAAAUGUCAUUUUGGCAGAUUAACCCGGCAGUGUCGGCGGACCCAUUUUUGGGCUCCCGCGAAUCGGUCCGCUGAAACAGCGGACCCCGUAUGAGGCUCGGCUCAAAAUGCCUAAUUCAAGCUAAUUGUAGGCGGUUGCGGCAUAGAGCAACCCACCAUGCAUGCCCUGGGUCAUUGUGGUGGGUGAUUGAUCUUGAGGUGGGCUUAUUUGUCAUAGGUGGUGCUGUAAGGUCAUGGCAGACUGAAUUAGCUAUCCACACAGUAAUCACUUGUCAAAUUAUCUAAGGUAGACAACAAGCGACUCUCGGCUAGGUGCCGUGCGUCACGAGACUGUUUAUUUUGUAACAAACACCACCCAACAAGAAUGGAGUUUGAGUAAAAGUAAACAUUUUAACGGCCUUAUGGUUAUGAGAGGAGCACUCUGAUGUACGUUCCUUGCUCUUUUCUUAGUCUCAAAAUGCAGUGUAAUGUUGACGUUUCUCGGCCACUUCUCGGCUUUCCCGCAGCCCAAGCCCACGGGUUAACAAUUACUGUUAUUAUUACUGCUCUUCAAGGCUUGCAGUGACCUGAGACCUAGAGUGACAUAAGCACCAAAGUGUCUUCAAAUGCUCAGUAAUAACUGCAUGGUGUCAGCAUUCUGAGAUGCAGGUUUUCCUACUUUGAAGACUUAUUUAUUUAUUUAUUUAUUUAUUUAUAUAAUUUUACAGCAAAGGAGACAGCACAAGGGCACACAAAAAAGGAAACUAAAAAAGAAGCCCGCUACACGUAUUUUUUUAUUUUUACUCAUUUUUCUUGCUUAGAAGGACCAUUAAGAAAUAUGAUCCCCGCUGCUACCGGGUUAAGGCCCUCCCCCACCCAGGCCCUCCUUGGCCCAUUUCACCAAGGCAUUUAUCUCUCCUCAUGUAUAAAUCCAGGAUCAAUUCAUUUCCAAACUGCAUACACUCACAUUUGCACACAGCUCAUGAUCCACUGAAGCCUGUUUAGUGUAGUGUGGCGACUAUGCCUGAUGAACGAGCCCCCCAUAACCCACUUAGCCAGGGGGGUAGCUCUUUGGCCGACUCGGUAGGGAGUGGCUCUCCUGUCAUGCUGGUCGCGGGUUCAGUCCCAGGCAGCCGGGGAAUACCCUCUCCUUGCCGUGAUUAAUUUCUCGUGUGUUUCGAGAUACAGACAUGUGGGGCCGAGAGAGUAAUAGAAAAAGAGAUAGAAAAUCUCUUUAUUAAAUUAGGACCUCUUGGGAAAUAUACUAAUUAAGUCCUUGAUAUUAUUAUCAUUUCUAUGAGAAUUUUCCUUUUCACUUUUCUUGUUCAUGCGUUUUUUUAUUUAAACAUUAACAUUGGUAAUGGCUUGCUCCAUCAUUUGUUUCUCACACGCCCGGUAUCUCAGGGGUAGAGCGUCUGGCUCACAACCAGAAGGACCAGGGUUCUAAUCCCUGGCUGGGUGAAGAUAAGUUGGGUUUAUCUUCUUUCACGUGUAGCCCCUGUUCACCCAGCAGUGAGUAGGUACGCAAGGAGUUGUGACCUCGUUGUGGCGGUGUGUUAUGUAUGAGUGGUCUCAGUCCACCCAAAGAUCGGCACUAUGAGCUCUGUGCUCUCCCGUAGGGGAACGGCUGGCUGUCUGACCCGCAGCAGACCAAGAGCUGAUUACACUGGAGAGCACAGUGGUCACCCAGCAGACCCGCAGCAAACACCAGAAAAUGAGAAAAAUUGUCCCUCAAUGCUUGAAGGACGGUUACUCUGGGCUGCUCCACGUGGCUGCUCCAUCUGCCGGGGCCGACGAUGCAAGUCUCCCUUUCAGGUUGGUGAGCCUCUGCCUGUCUUGCCCCCCUCAUGAGAAUGAUGCAAAGAAAACAGUGCCCUUAUAUUGGCUCGGGUGUCUACAGCCAUGUGAUACCAGUGUUGUAAAUAUUUUCAGCUGAGAGGAAAAACGAUGGUUCAAGCUACAACAACAAAAAAAGGUGACAAAUAAACAUUAUAUAUAUAUCACUAGUUACAUGGUGAAGAUGAUGUGCCAGCCACUGGAGUGCCCCCCACACAUGCCUCCUCAGCUUGACUGGUGGUGGGCUUUGAUCAAGGAGCCUCGAGUUAGUGAAAACAUAAAGUAGGCCGCAUACACCGUAGCAUCAUGCAUAUUUUAAAGUGUCUGAUCUUACUAAACUCUCAGUGUUCUGUACUCAUGAUUUCCCCGUGACAACUCAUCUUGGGUAGGCGGUGGCUGAGUGGUAGCAUGCUGGGCCCACAUUCACCGCGUGAUGGACGACGCGGGUUCGAAUCCCCACGCUACCACCUCGCAUUUUUCAGUCACCGCCGAGUGGCUUAAAACUACCCACAUGCUGUCCUGAAGACCACCCAUCAACCCGGACUCUAGAGGAAACCGUCCAAGUGAAUCAAGAACGAGUUCCGGGGGGCAGCAUGAGCCAAGAGAAGAUGGCGCCACUAUAAACACUUGCCUGCGCCAUGACGGGCUGGGGCCGACCACCAUCCAGGCCCCGCAAGCAAGCCUGCCGGCGCCAUAGACGUAGACAUGUAAAAAAACAACAACUAUGACCUCAUUUGACAUUGCCAAAGUUUCUCCGUAGAAAAUGUCCUCACAAACUUGAAUCAUAUAUUACACAGAUACCCAAAAAAUUAUCAUUUGAAUAAAAAGUCAAAUUAGAUUUAAAAAAAACGGAUUUAAAUCAAAUAAAUCUAUUUUUUAAUUUCUCCAAACCUGUAAGAUGCACUGUGGGCAUAUCUGCAUCAUUAUAUACACGGUUACUUCAGGUCUUGAGGGAGCUCAGAGCCUGUAUCCUUGGGAUAAAGUCUUUUUUUUUUUUUUUUUUUUUUUAUUAUUUUUUUUUUUAAUCACGUCUACGCCUAUGUCGCCGGCAGGCUUGCUUGAGGGGCCUGGAUGGUGGUCGGCCCCAGCCCGUCAUGGCGCAGGCAAGUGUUUAUAGUGGCGCCAUCUUCUCUUGGCUCAUGCUGCCCCCCGGAACUCGUUCUUGAUUCACUUGGACGGUUUCCUCUAGAGUCCGGGUUGAUGGGUGGUCUUCAGGACAGCAUGUGGGUAGUUUUAAGCCACUCGGCGGUGACUGAAAAAUCCCAGGUGGUAGCAUACGUGGGGAUUCGAGCCCGCGUCGUCCAUCACGCUGUGAAUGUGGGCCCAGCACGCUACCACUCAGCCACCGCCUACCCAUGUAGUGCAAGAACUUUGAUCUCUUCCUUCUCUUGCAGAAUUCACCACAACCAAGUGUUACCAAGUGAGGCGAGGAUGGCCCAGGGCACCACCACCACCAUCGCCACAGUCACCUCCAGAAAGCAACACCGCAUCAAUUUUUUUUUUUUUUCACAGCUAAGGAAUCGGCUCAAGGGCAACAAAAAAGGUGUGAAAUAAAAAGCCCGCUAAUCGCUGUUCCCACAAAGACAAUAGUGAAAGGUGGCCAAAAGAGAGCAUACAAGGACAAUGAGGAAGAGGAGGAGGAGGAUAAAUAAUUAGUGAGAAAAAAAUAUCAAUGAAAAAUAAGAGAAAAUGAGAGAAAAUGAAAGAUAGUGAUGAAAAAGACUGAAUUAAAUAUUUACUACAUAUCUAGUACUACUGAAAAAAAGAGAGAUACAGAAUAAAGGGAGAAAGUGACUGGAUUACUACUACUACUACUACUACUACUACUACUACUACUACUACUACUACUGCUACAUCUGGUUAUGGAGGGACCAACCAGAACAAGAGGAACAACAACAACAACAACAACACAAAGGAAGGAAUUUUGGAUUUAAGGGCUCCACACCACCGCCAGUCUACCGGCUCCACCAAAGGACUGCUACCAGGUUCUCGGGUGCCCAGAAGCGCCUCGGAGAAGGAGAUGAAGAAGGCGUACUAGUACCAGGGAGUGGCCGGAGGACGGCUGACCCACAAGGCUGACCUACAAGGCUGACCUACAAGAGGCUUGCUUGGAUUUAAACCAAUUGAAAUCAGAGGAAAAAAAUCAUGAUCAUGACGAUGAUACAAAAACUAUCACCAAAAUGCCGUGGUUUACUAGCGGUGACUUGGUGGACGAGCAUCCUGUUUUUUUUUAUAUAUAUUAUUUUUAGUUUAUUUAUUUAUUUUUUUAUUUUAUUUGUGGCCUCACCCGGGUGGGGGGACAGGCUCUAUGGAGGCCGUCAGGGUCAAGCGUGUACGUCCCUUCAAGGAGGGAGCACAAACCCUUGCUGGCCCGUGAUGGGGAGGGAGGAUGCCGAUAGACUGACUCUACAAGCUUACGUCAGCCUAAGCGAUCAGUCGGUCUGUCAAGGAGGACUGGCGUGUCUCUGGAAGGCGUGAGCGUGGGCUCCCUUGGUUGGCUGCAGGACCAGAGUGCUCGGAGCAGAAAACAAUAGGAAGAGAGCCUCAGGGCGGCCACCUUGAUCUAAAGAAAAAACACAACCCCCAGUACAGAACCAAUACAUAUUUUAAGGAAUGGCUGGGAAAAAAAAAAAAGGCAUCGUUUCAAUUUUUUUGUUCCUAACGAUGGCGCUGAUGUUUUCAUGCCGGGAAAUUCUUGCCUAUCCUGCAGUGAUGCGUUAAAAUGGUCUGGGGUGCAACAGUGACACAACAGUAACACAACAGUAACACAACAGUAAGGCAUUUCCCAGUGAACCACAAAACCAGUACAUAAACAUUAUGUUUGUCAAGGGUCGUCCUGCAGUACGUGUACAAUAUGCGUCGUAACGUUCCCCCCCUCCCUUCUGCCUUCACCAUCAGGGGCCGUCAGUCACGCCGGGCCAGAGACAUUUUAGGGUUGCCAGCUGUUCCUUAAAAUAUGUAUUGGUUCUGUAGUGGAGGUUGUGUUCCUUACUUUUCUUAGCUCAAGGUGGCCGCCCUGAGGCUCUCUUCCCACUGUCUUUCACUCAGCACUCUCGUCCUGCGGCGAACACAGGGAACCUGCGCUCACUUGUACACAGAGACGUGCCAGUCCUGUCCAAAGACUGACUUGGUCGGCCAGCGGUCGUCAGCUGAUGGUCGGUCUAUCGGCAUCCUCCCCUCCCCGCCAUGAGCCAUCACCGGCAAGGGUCUGUGGCCGCUCGUAAACCACGGCAUUUUUUGAGAUUUUUUGUUGCUCGUGAAUCAAAUCGUGUGUAAAGUAAGGCACUGGUAAGGCCAGGUAUGACUGUGUCACCCAGCCCUGGGGGGGGGGGGGGUUAGCAUGGGGUAAUUACAGCUAACAGUUGUUUUUAUUAUACGCCAGAAUCUCAAUCUCUCUCUCAUUCCUCCCGAGACUUGCCUCCAUUAUUUCCUUGCCUUACCUUGCAGCCCCUUUCUCCCGUCCUUCUUUCAUUUCCAUCUCUCUCUCUCUCUCUCUCUCUCUCUCUCUCUCUCUCUCUCUCUCUCUCUCUCU
Long non-coding RNA from Eriocheir sinensis (Chinese mitten crab), 6708 nucleotides. RefSeq lists it as uncharacterized. The record is from RefSeq and is a predicted model, not a curated record. The transcript has 4 exons. Lineage: Eukaryota; Metazoa; Arthropoda; Malacostraca; Decapoda; Varunidae.